Molecule: ribosomal RNA, 220 nt
Filed under: uncultured bacterium
Lineage: Bacteria
Description: partial 16S ribosomal RNA
Rfam family: Bacterial small subunit ribosomal RNA
Source: RNAcentral
UAAUAUAUCGGAACGUACCCAAGAGUGGGGGAUAACGUAGCGAAAGUUACGCUAAUACCGCAUACGAUCUAAGGAUGAAAGCAGGGGACCGCAAGGCCUUGUGCUCCUGGAGCGGCCGAUAUCUGAUUAGCUAGUUGGUAGGGUAAAGGCCUACCAAGGCAUCGAUCAGUAGCUGGUCUGAGAGGACGACCAGCCACACUGGAACUGAGACACGGUCCAG